AGCUUUGCGCAGUGGCAGUAUCGUAGCCAAUGAGGUUUAUCCGAGGCGCGAUUAUUGCUAAUUGAAAAAUAGUACACUUGUAACCAGGCUCCUUUCUCUCAUUUAGGUGAUGAAAUCGGAAUGCUGGAGGACAUGGCUGUU
Non-coding RNA from Myotis brandtii (Brandt's bat), 141 nucleotides. The record is from Rfam. NCBI's taxonomy places the organism in Eukaryota, Metazoa, Chordata, Mammalia, Chiroptera, Vespertilionidae.